Molecule: long non-coding RNA, 423 nt
Organism: Mirounga angustirostris (Northern elephant seal)
Lineage: Eukaryota; Metazoa; Chordata; Mammalia; Carnivora; Phocidae
Exons: 4
Source: RefSeq, a predicted model, not a curated record
CAACAGACCGCCCCAGUGUCUGAGGCUCUCCCCCAGACACAGGCCCAGCUUGGCCACAGUCACAGGCCGGGGGGCCAAAGGCUCCAGAUCCAGUUGGCUAACCCGGAGAAGGCUCCCACCAGGCAGCCCCGAUAUGAUUCCAACUCCCAUCAGACUCAGGCUCCAGUUAGACACGGCGAAAGAGGGAAUACAAGCAGGGGGAGUGGAGAGGGAGAAGCAGGCUUCCCACGGAGCAGGGAGCCCGAUGUGGGGCUCGAUCCCAGGACCCUGGGAUCAUGACCUGAGCCCAAGGCAGACGCUUAACGACUGAGCCACCCAGAGAAGGCAGAUCCCUGAGAAGAUAUGCGGAGGGCAAACUUCAGGACAUACAGGAAGGAGUUCCAUCUCAUUCUCAGAAGUUCACCAUGUCUGAUACUGCUGGUA